Molecule: unclassified non-coding RNA, 1412 nt
Filed under: Bactrocera latifrons
Lineage: Eukaryota; Metazoa; Arthropoda; Insecta; Diptera; Tephritidae
Description: acyl-protein thioesterase 1, transcript variant X5
Source: RNAcentral
UUGCAGAAAUUGAAAUAAAGUGUUGGCAACGUUGUGGAUUUGCCUGCGCUGUUGUUGGGAAGUUUUCGAGCCAUUGCUGUUGUAAGAGCAAGUAUUUGGGAAAAUAUAUAGCAGGAAAAACUAAUAAGAGUUGUUGGUACGUGUCAACAAUAACAACAACAAACAUUGGAAAUUCUGCUAUCAAAAGUUUGUUUAGCCAAAUCAGCGGUGCAGACACGUCGCUCCCAAAUCAUCCCGUCACCUUAAACGUUGAGCUUGGUAUUGUUUUGCACAAUUUCUGCGUGCAUCAAUUUUAAUUGAAUUGAAUUGUACCUGAAUGCAUGUACAUAUAACCAUAUACUAUUCUUAUACAUAACUCUUAACGUCAGGCAGUGUGUAUGUGACUACAACAAACAAUAUCAACUUUAAACAAUUGAUUUAUCGUAAAAGAAAGAUAACGCACAACACACGUGUAGACACAAUAUUGAGGUGUACAAUCGACGACGUGUGGAAGGAAAACAAUUGUGUUUGUUAGUGUCAGGAUAUUUUCUAAUCACACUUUUGCUUGUAUCAACUGUUGGUUGGCUAUUAUUGUGGUUAAACGAAAGCAACAACAUGUCGAUUGCGCCAGUGAUAAUUGAGGCAACCGCCAAACAUACGUCAACCCUCAUCUUCAUGCACGGCUUAGGUGAUACUGGCCAUGGAUGGAGUUCAGCGUUGGCGACAAUACGUCCGCCCAGCAUGAAAGUAAUCUGUCCAACAGCACCCACAAUGCCGGUGUCACUGAAUGCCGGCUUUCGUAUGCCUUCUUGGUUUGAUUUACGUACGCUCGAUAUAUCGGGUCCCGAAGAUGAGGAGGGCAUCAAAAGUGCUGCUCAAAAUAUAAAAAGUAUGAUUGAUGACGAAGUCACCAAAGGUAUAGCAUCGAAUCGUAUUGUGCUGGGUGGUUUCUCACAGGGUGGUGCAUUAGCAUUGUAUACAGCGCUGACAUACAAUCAACCGCUGGCUGGUGUUGUGGCGCUAUCCUGUUGGUUGCCAUUGCACAAGCAAUUUCCAGGCAUAAAAACCAACUCCGACGAAAUACCAGUUUUUCAGGCACAUGGUGACUUCGAUCCUGUUGUACCAUACAAGUUUGGUCAAUUAAGCGCUAGUUUAUUAAAGACAUUUAUGAAGAAAGUUACAUUUAAGACAUACAAUGGGCUAUCACAUUCCUCAUCGGAUGACGAAAUGGAUGAUGUGCGGGAUGUACUGGCCUCUUGGGUAAAUUAAAUUGCAAAAUAAUUAAAAUACAAUACACUAGUAAACAAAAUGAACAUACAUAUAAUUAGUGUGCAUAGUUAAGCGCAGUGGUGACAGUAGAAAAAGUGAUACCUCAACGGUGGAUGUUAGCGGAAAUGCCACAGCUCAAUGCUGUCUAAUAUCAUAGUAGCAAA